Molecule: ribosomal RNA, 254 nt
Filed under: uncultured bacterium
Lineage: Bacteria
Description: partial 16S ribosomal RNA
Rfam family: Bacterial small subunit ribosomal RNA
Source: RNAcentral
UACAGAGGUGCCAAGCGUUAGGCGGAAUCACUGGGCUUAAAGCGCGUGUAGGCGGGUCGUUAAGUGUCUUGUGAAAUCCCACGGCUCAACCGUGGAACUGCUGGGCAUACUGACGAUCUUGAGGCACUCAGGGGCUGUCGGAACAAAUGGUGGAGCGGUGAAAUGCGUAGAUAUCAUUUGGAACGCCAACGGUGAAAACAGACAGCUGGGGGUGUCCUGACGCUGAGACGGCGAAAGCCAGGGGAGCGAACGGG